AACGCCGAACCGCCUCUGAGGCGACACUCGCGGUCACGGGGCGGCAGCGGGAUCAGGGGUGAAGAGAAACGCUGAGCCAAGAUGGGAGGAACGGCGUGUCUCCUCAGGGGAAGGGAGAGAGGCCCCUCCACAAGGAGUGGGUCAGAGUGUGAGUGUGCCCUGUGUGAAUCGCUAAAAGAGAGAGCUGGGCUGGGACACAAUGGGACAGAAGGAGGUUUUCAGUGGCACUGGCAUCAGGAGAGCGUCUGAAGUGUGGCCUCACACCUCCGUUGGCUGUAAGAAGCUUCCAGGCUGUGGCGUGGCCAAGGCUGAAUGCAAAACGCACGUCACUGCCCGAAGUGGAAGUAAAACCUGAGUUAAAUGUGCUAAAACCGAGGCAGUUGGUUAAUAUUUUCCUCAUAAACUCAGGCCAGGGUUUGGAGGAAUGAGGGCUGCUAAAUUGGCUGAGUUGGGAACGUUGCCAUCUGAAGAAGAAUAGAUGGGGAAGAGAGAAAGAUGAGCAGAACGACCACCAAUCACAUACGAGACUUCAGAAAAAACUAUUAAAUUAAUAAUGACAAUUAAAGUCAUUUUAAUAUUGGAAGAAAAGGGGAUGAAGUUUACUCGAGGCAGAUCGUGCUUUAUUUUGCCUUGUCUGUACGGACAUGGAGAAUACCUUCAGUGAACUGUCACAUGGAAAUGAUCAGCAAUCCGUGUGGGAUGGGGAUUUUCCAUAGAACAGGGAAGUACCCACCUCAUAGAAUCACAGAAUGACCCGGGUUGGAAGGGACCUCAAGGAUCAUGUAGUUCCACCUCCCAGACAUGGAGAUGAAAUUUUUUACUGAACUUGCCAAAUUUAAUAAGAAAAAAAUCGUGAACUGGGGAUGGUUUGGCUUAUGAGCGGAUGACAAAACUAAACCACAGCUCAGUCCAGAAAGACUUUGUUCUCUGUGCAACAGGAAGACUACCACCUCCUCAAGUCAUAGCAGGCUCAUCUAGCGUUGCCACAGAGGAACAGGAAAAGUUAGCCACAGAGGAUUAAAAUCUGGGGAGGGUGCUCCUGAGCCCUACAUCAGCACAAGCAGGGCUGGCUGCCCGCCCAUCAAUCUGCACGCAUGUAUCUGUUCGCAGCAACACCAGCAGCCUGCAGUGAGCGAUGCCAGCACAGAAUGCCACAGUGCUGCGGGAGCACCGCAGCCUUGGAGCAAAGGGAUGUGACGUUGCACUCGUCUUUGAGAGCAAACAAAUGACAUCUUUAACCUGCAGAGGAGCAUAAGCCGAUCUGUGAGGCAAACAGCAGUAAAAAUGCUCGAUAGCUUUCCAGAUUUCUCAAAACAAGCCUCAGCUACACACUAGAAAUGGCAGGAAUACUGUAAAACACACGAGGACGGCUGUAAAGCUGCUUCAUCCGCAUAGUGUAAGCAUCGCUGCUCUACUGACUCCAUCGAAACAAUCAUCGAACCCUGAGCUUCUACAUCCUCUGCCUCCUCCCUUCCCCCAGCCCCCCCGAAGGAACGGCGUGCUCUGUACUUCCCUCUCAGCCUAUAAAGGUGUGGCACUCCCGUGGGUGUUACUGUCACUAAUCUCAUCAGGCACGAAGAGCGAGGUAUAAAAAAAAACACACAAAAACAACCUUUCGAUUCAGAAAGAAGGCAGCAGUAUCUGAAGCAAAUCGCUGUGCUGCCUCUUCUGCAACUGAUUUCCCUCUGGAGUUUACUGAAAUCGGUUGUAGCGAGGGGCAGAAUCAGAAAGGGACCGAAUCACUAGAAAACAAAGAUCUAAACGGAUCGAAGUGAAAGGCACCUUUCACAACCUGAGAACGAGCAAAGAAAGGCAGGAGGAAACGUAUCUCAAAGAACUCCGUGCUCCCCAGUGUGUGUUGUCCGAAUUCAUCCCACCGUGUUCACAAGCCCGUAGCUCUGUGCUUUCUUCGGAACUCUCGGGUUCUUUGAGGUCAUGUGCGCUCACCGGGUUCCCAGUGUCUGUCCGCCGAGAGGUGACGGGGAUGCAGACACUUCUCACUUCCCUAAGUACAGCAGUAGGGACGCCGGCUCGUUGGGUUUUUGACUUUCUCGCGCCCUGCUUCCAGUCAGAAGACGAGAUCUGUCUGAGAACAGGAAAAACUGUUUGGCUCCACUUCAGGUCACGGUUUCUCAUCUCCCUGCUACUUUGAGCCCCACUUCCUGAUCUUACACAAACGUUUCUCAGUGGGGGUCCCUUUCCAGUUUCACAGACAGGAGUUCCAAGUGAAGAGUCAGUGAAGCAGCCAGCUUAAAGUGGAACUUGAUAGAAAAAACCAACCAACCAACCAACCAACCAAAACCUGUUCUUCCUCCCACCCCACUGAUUUAUUUUGACAUGGAAUGAACACUGGAUCAGCAACCACAAAGCACUUUGUAUUUCAGUUUCACUGCAUUAGCGUGUGUCUUGAAGAUCUUUUCCAUGCUGAUACAGUGAGAUCUCAGGACUUCCUGCAAUUGCUCCGGGUGACCUCAGUCCACCACCUGUGCUGGACUGCUCUAACUUGCUUUGGAAUAUUGCUUGCUCAGUCCUUUCCAUUAUAUAUAACUUAAAAGGCUAUGGGCAACCUGGUCUGGUGGUUGGCAACCCUGCCCGUGGCAGGGCGGUUGAAACUAAAUGAUCUUUGAGGUCCUUUUCAACCCAGGCCAUUCUGCAAUUCUAUGAUUCUAAUAUUAACAACUUAUGCUAUGUGGUAAAAAAAUAUAUGUAUGUAUAAAUUUAACCUCGUUUCUGCCAUGCGUAAAAAGGUAUGCUAAAAUAAAUACUGGUUUAAAAGUUGUACGUGUAUCAAAAUAUGAAAUAUUUGAGAGUUACUCCCCUCAUCCCUUAUCUAAUUAUAGUAUUAAUGAGUAACAUGCUGAAUUUUGGCUGAGAUGUGGUAGCCACAGGAGAAUGGACUUCUGCACAGAUGAUCUCCUGACGUAACGUUUGCAGCAGGGGUGUGUUUCACUUUUAAUCAUACAAGCUGUCCACCUGAAGCCAAAAGGGCUAAUUCCCCACUGCGCUCAGCCCUGCUACAUGAAUAUGACCUCUUUUGCUUUGAUUGUGAGAGACUGCAGAUUAGUAAAAGAAUGUAUUUUUACAGUAAGGCUGGUGAGGCGCUGGAACAGGCUGCUCAGAGAUGCAGUGGAUGCGCCAUCCAUGGAGACACUCAAGGUCAGGCUGGACAGGGCUCUGAUUGAGCAGUGGGUGUCCCUGUUCCUUGUAGGGGACUCAGACUAGAUGACCUUUAAGGGUCCUUCCAUCUCAAACAAUUCUGUGAUCCUCUGAUUCUCUGUUUUGCCGUACUCCUGUCGUUCCAGUUUAAUAUGACUGCCCACUUGCCUUUAACUGUCCCAGUGUAAGAUUUUGCAGCAAUACAUUGAAUAUUUAGAAGUCACUUUGUCUUUAUGAUUGGUAAAGUGACCCCAUUUAAUGGCCAAAGAAAAAAAGGCUCUGGGAUGUGGCUACAACCCCACAAAGAAACUUGCUUAUGCAAAGUCACAUUGGGAACUUCUUUCAUGUAGUUUCAAGUAUCAAGCCCUUAAUAUUUGAAAAUACACAAUAAACAUACAGCGGGCAUUGCCGAGUAUGGAGGUUAAUAAAAAUACAGCCCGGCAUUAACAUUAAAAAGGCUCUAAUUUUUUUUUUUUUCUUAGCAGGUAAUUAGUUCACACAAAGAAAUCUCCUUUCUUAUCCUGGAAACGCAUGCAUAAAACAGCUCAGAUAACAUCAUUUACAUACGGGCUGCUGCAUACGCAUGUUAAUGUCUGGCUGUGAAAAGUUCAGACAAGUUUGUAAUCCCAGAUUUCCUGCGCGUGCUCAGCACCCAGAUUCCCAGAAAGGCCGAGGUGCGGGGCACCGCAUGUUGUUGAGAUGGCAGCCCGGUGGCCUGGGCUGCACAUGGACCUGCGAGCUACGCGCUUUCCCAGAGUGCAACACAUCGGACAGUUGUGGGCAUUUUAGACACAUAUUGGCAUUUGUGUGUUGCAGUUUCUUUUGUCAGUCACUUCAGCUUGUGGCCGUCUCUCUAAGCCUAUUGUGCCACCUCCGCUUGCUUUUUCAGGGCUACUGUGUCACUCACUAUUAGAACCAAUCUGCUUUUGCAUUUUAACACUAUCAUGUCACCCAUCAGCAAUCAUUCGCUUUUAUCCCCUAAAACUUCUGCACAAUGGCAGCCACGCCACUGGGACAAAAGCAGAGGCAGUGAGGAAAAAGGAGGGAAAAAAAAGGAGGAGAGAGCGGGAAGGCUGCAGCAGCAGCUGGCUCUGUGCUUUGGGGUCCUUCAGUGUGUACUUGAACUUGGACUGUGGUGGAUGUGCGUUCAUCUUCUGUUUCCCUCCUUAGCACAACGUACCUCUCUGGUGAUGGAAAUAGGCGUGGACUGGCUGCUUCUGUGUGAAGGCCAACAGGUAGCAGCGCUGUUUUUGUGCCUACAGAAAGCUGCAGGAAAAAGGGAGGGCUGUGUGAGGGACAGCCUUGUGCUGCGGUAAUAUUGAUUGCUUGCAGCACUCCUCAAAACAAGAAUCCAGCUUGCCGGGCACCUUUAAAACCAGCAGGAUGCAUCCCUACUGCUGUUGGAGGAGGGUAUCUGCAAGCCUGACAGCUGCGUUCAGACAGAGAUGCAGUUACAGCAUCAGAGGGUUUGGGAAUCAUCUUUCAAGUGCAGAGUGUUCAGGAUUUAUCUCGGAUUUGCAUGUGUAUACAGUCGCCCUCCCAGCGGUUUAGAGCUAUCAGAUGAGCAGAGAUCUCAGACUUCUCAGACUGCCUGUAGUUAGUUGCCUGAAAAUGAAGAAGGUGGGGGUCCUGCUCGAAGGUGAAAUAACUGAAGUGCUUUAGCCUGGAACCAGACUCAGCUGGGAAAGAUGCAUGGUAAUUCAUGCAGAGCACUCCUCUGAAAUAGGCAUGGCUCAACACGAGGCUUUGGACUCCCACCUUUUACAAACAUGACCUUACUGUGUUUCCCUGGGACUGUAAGAUUUUAAUGAGGUAAAAAUGACCAAAAUGUCAUGACCUCUAGUUUUCUUCAUCCUAAAUUCUCGAUAGUUAAUGAAAUGAAGCUCAGCUACGUUGUAUUUUGCUGAUUCCACAGAGGGGAACAGUUUAAGAUCACGAAAGAAAAGGUUUAAAUAAAAUUCUGUGAGCUCAGGGUAAUUUUUCCCCUGUACACCAAAAGGAUCAGAUUCUAUAAGCAAGGAAUAUACAAGCAAUUGGAGUAUAAGCCCCUUCUUCACCAACAUAAUUUGCUCAGUGGUUGAGGCUGAUUCUUCAGUAACUACCACCUUGCAAAUAACCAUCAGCAUCUUAUUUGUUAUCCUGGCAUUUCGUAUUUAUGACAGUACUUCUUGUCUGUAGCCGUGAUACUCUAGAGCCAGGACUUACAGAAUACUGUAGUUGUGUCGAUAAAAAAGAACAGACAAAUGGCUUUUUCACAGGAGCUUUGGAUCAAAUGCUUGCAGGUUUCCAAGCAAUCUCCGUACUCAAGGAUGACCAUUCAGGCAGUCCUCACUCACACUCGAGUUCACAUUAGUGCUGUAUUGGCCCCUGUGUGUGCCAAGUCUCUGAGACAGCCCCCAGGCAAGAAAUCAAGCAUAGAAAUAAUCACUCAGAAACAUUAGAAAACAGUCAUCAGAACGUUCCUUUUUUUCCCCUGUCUAGGUAAGAUCUUUACAGUACUUAAAGAGAAACAGUCACUAAUGGCUCCUUCCAGAACUGCUGGGUGAGCAUGAAAAUACUACAAAGUAAUUUAUCUUAAAAGCAAAAACAUCUGAAACAGCUUCCUCACUCCUCUGUGGGAUUUUACCAAGAAGAAACCUGCACAACACACAGCGUGGUCCGCUGCACGUGCACUGCAAAGCCUGAGCAGAAGUUCCUAUUGUGGUGGGGCAACAUUGCUGAGUGUUGCUGAAUUUCUUUUGCAAUCACUUUGAGAUGUUCUCCUGUCAGUCGGUGGUGGUUUAUCUGCAAUUUCUACUUGUUUGUACUUACUGAGCACACCCACUCAUUAUUUGAUGGUUAGCCCCAGCUAAUCAGUCAGGAGUAAAUUUUGCUGCUCCUAUGUAUAAAGUUGAAUCUGCAGGGCCUGCAUUUCUUUUUCUUUUAAACCACACUGAUUUCACCUUCAAAAGAGGAAGAGAGUGUUUCCAUUUUUAGUCUGCAAUUCUUUGAAGUCUUCCCGUUCCAUUGAAUAGGGGGUCUGGAUAGAAUUUGACCAAAAAAAAAAAAAAAAAAAAAAAAAUCAAUUCCUUAUUUUAGGUUUGGUUUCAGCAAUAAAGAAGUUAAUGAGAUCACAUCUGUUUUUGUCCUGCUAUUCUCUACAGCAGUCCACUGGAAACGGCACCACUCGCCCACAGCCUUUUCUUUUAUACCAAACAGACUAACCCAGCCUAAAUAGUGUCUUUAAACACAUCCAUAGCAAGGCUGAGACAUGAAUCAAUCGAUCACCAGCCGCCGUGGUGAUGUCACUUAACCCGUAGCUACAAUUACCAGUUGCCUGCAGUUUCACAACAGCAGCCAGCUGAUGGAUUUAGGCAGACCUUAAAAACAUUUUCUUUGGCAUAGGACGGAGUGGAGAAACAUCUCCAAAAACUACCAAGAGCUUCAUUCUGUAAGUAACGUUUGAACACAUCUGGAACAGCUGGGUAAUAAGUUGUGCGUGUCAAGUUCAGAAAACAGCUGCUUUUAGCCUUCGCUUUGGGCCAGACGUUUGCUUUCUGACACCAGAGUAUAUUCUAUUUUAUUUUGUAGCAGCUUCUUCAGUGUUCCCAUAUGGACAAGCUGAGCAGCUCCAGGAAUACAACUGCAAGUAUAUACAUGCCGUUCUUUAGCAGAGAUGAAGGCCAGAUGUUGCUUUGUCAUCUUCACAUGCAUCUUUAAAAAAGUUAAAUGAAGUUGUUUCAUACAUACAAUUAAUGCCAGGUAUAGGCAAUUUGCUCUUAGGCUGUUUAAAAGCCAACUUCCUAAAAGAUGGAAAAUAACAACUGAGAAUUCAAACCCUAGGAUAACUUCAGGAAAUAAGUACAGCAGAAUCCAGGAUCACAGAGAUGGAAAUGUAUUGUGCAGAAAAGACACGGUGGCUUAUUUCUGAGAUCUGAAUGAGUACUAUUUAUGCUUUUACUAGAAAAUAAUUGACCUUAUUGUUAAAGUGCAGCGUGAAGUUCCACGUAAAGCCUAUCAAAGCCGCCAUGACCAAAAGCCUUCCACUCUGCUGCUUUGCUCUCCCAGGAUAUAACCCGACCCACCCGUUCAAAUACUGGAGAAUUUAAUACAUCUACAGCUAGCAGCGUAAUGCACACAGAUUCUUUGUGUGUGCACUCCUGGUUUCUACACCUCUUGGAUCCAGCAGGGUGAGCAAUGAUUCUUUCCCAGUCUGUGCAAUUAGAGAGAUUUAGAUAAAAACAAACUGCUUUUCAUUUUUUUUUUUUUCCUGAUUUUGUGAAAAUUGGACUUUACUGUAUUCGUUUUAUGACAGACAUUUAUAAGGAAGUAUUAACUGAAGGUUACUUCUCCCCCCUUCAGUAACAAUACAUAUAAUGUUUGGGCUUGCACUGUCGGCUGAGGCCCUGCUCUGUGGGACAGUCCAGCGACAUACAAAAACUGCCAAGACACCAACCGUAACUUUUUGAGUUAUGUCACUUUAUUGGGGGAGUGAAAAGAAUCACAUUCUCUAGUAGUCUUGGAACAAUGCAAAUGGUGAACAGAAGACAAAAAAUAGAUGUAAUUGGUUCCGAAAAGCAUGAACAUCUGUAGAGAAUGUGUUGCAUUAUUCCUAAGGACUCUUGCUUUUGAAAAAAAAAAAAAAAAAAAAGUACAUGUUCUGUAUAUAUACAAGUGUCAGUGCAAUAGCCAAUAAAGCAAUCGAUCAGAAAUAUAAAAAUAUCCUAGAUACAAACUUAAAAAGAUGCUUGAAAGCCGACGAUAUCAGUAUUCUGAUAUUUCUGUAUCUCAGAGUACGAUCACCGGGAUGAGCCGUUCUGAUGAGGUAAAAGACAGUAAAUGCCCUGUGAGAACGCAGAGCCAUUAAUUCUCUUCCAUAAGACAAAAAGAUUGAGCACCCAAUGAAACGGCAUGUCUUCGCUGCAAGCGCCCACAGGAAGCGAAGUUACAGUCUGUGAGCGUGACUGCAUUCCUGCACCAUUCGUGCCUGCCAUCUUUGCCAAGAGUUACACCAGCAAAAACUUGCAAAUUCUCCCAUGCCCCCCCAAGCUGAGCAUAAACUGCACGCACUGUGCAGACACACCAAACUGACAGCUGCUUCAAACGCAGACAAGAUCUACAAAUGUCCAAAAACCACUUAGUCAUUCUUUCCUUUAUUGGUUGCAAAUCUUUUCUUUUUUUGGCAGUGAGGACAGAAAGAGAUCACAAAGCUUGACAGCAGAACAGCUCUCUGUGUAAGAGUUAGGGAGGGAACAGGGUGUGUUAUAUUUGUUUUGCCUCAGGUGUUCCAGUGAUGCCACUGAACUUAAAUCUCAGCUGGCUGAGCUAUAAAAAUCACAUUCCUCCUGUUCUGCAUUUUGGAUGGAAGGACGUGCUAAUCUGGGGCUCUUGUUCUAUAAAAAGAGGAAGGGCUACUUGGUCAAACUUUCAGCUGCAUGCUGUCUGCCUGCACCGUGAUUCAUCUCUUUCCUUCCGCCACCUCUUUCACUAUGACCCUCCAAGCUCCGCCACUUCUUUCUGCCUCCCAGUUCUUUUCAAAGAAGAGGCAGAGCAAUUAGGUAGUCAGUGUGCUCUGUGUCUCUGUGGCAUAGAGCCCCAGACAGAACUGAGAGCAGAGCUGGGAGAGGCAGGAAUGUACAGCAAACACAACCUCCUCCUCAAGGUGGUAAUGAUAAGGAGUUAAUUUCAAACCAUGUGUCAAUUUCAGGCACUCCUCUUUGGAAAAGCACAAUGAAUUAUAGAGUCUCUAGUACCUUAAGAUUAACUUGAAUGGGCUAUGAUUUGUGUGAUAGAAAGAGCACAAUGAGAGCUGGCAGUUGCCUUCUUAAGAAACUUUCCUUACUACUUAUGGCACGCACAUGCACUGAAGCACACAGCGGUUGCUCGAAUCUUUAAAAGGUUUCUUAGCUUCACAUUUUAGACUCAAAAGCUUGCCCUUUAAAUCAUUUCAUUUUUCAUCAUUCCUUUCUAAACCUCUUGUCUCAGGCAAAUUCAGACAGCUGCGUAAGAAGAAGUGAAGCCAGCAACAUCUGUAGGAUGAUGACACUUGACAAAUGGCCUUGGGUUUUCUUUCGGUUUCUGGAAGAUGCUUUGCAGAUGUCAGAGCCUCAAGGAAUCACCAUACGUCUCUCCUUAGCCUUGCUGAAUGUGGCAUUCGAUGUUUCCAAACACUGAGUGACUGCUUGCCACACCUCAGCAAGGCGGGCUAUUCCGUCUCAAAUAAACAGGCAGGAAAUGGAGGCACGCAGAAUGACUAAGCGAUUAUUCCAACAUGGUGAUACAAGCCCGGGAGAGUCAGGAGCUGAACCUGUAUUUCUUGCAUCUCGAUCUCGCGUUGUCUUUUUGUCGUGUGUUGCAGCCUUAUUCUUUCCUGUAGAGGAAGACUGGAAUCUUAAGAGUCUGUCAUGCUACUCUGGUUGACAGGUGGUGUCGCCAGUGAGAUAAGAUUGUUGCACUCCCCACAUCAAAAGGUGGAAUAUGCUGUAUGACAUCUGCUUGCUGGAAGAAAUACUAACCAUACCAGUCCUUAAGAACAUCAACAUUUAUUUCUUAUGAUAUAAAAGAAAUGGGUUAUGAACAUUCUUAUCUGAACAAUAAGUGGCUUCUUUACUUACAUCGCAUGUGCUCAUUGUAUAAUAUAUAUACAAUGAACAUAAUUACAUUUGUACACAAACUAAGUACUGGACUGAGAACCUGCUUAUUGCUGUACACACGCUAACCCAACAAAGGAAAAGCCCAGUACCUCAAAAUACCUACACUCCAUUUUAUUUAAGUAAAAGUAAGCACUGACAUUGAAGUAUAUGUUGACAGAAGUGUGGCAGUAACUGCUGACAUUUCAACCUGACCAAGGAAUAAUUACAACAGAAACGGAACAUCUUUUACUAAGCAAUAAUAAAAAUGGCACAUUUUAAAUAUAUCUAUAUGUAUAUAUAUAUAUAAAAAUUUUACAAAUAAAAUGUUAAAACAAUAAAUUGUAGUGUUUAAAAAGUGUAAAACGGGGUUUUAGUGGUGAUAUGUAAAAUUAACUGAGUUAUGCAUCUAAAAGAAGCCAAAAAGUAAACUUAUGUGAUCCAUAAUUAAAAGAACAUUAAAUUCUGGAAAAUAAAGUCCUGACUAUAGGCUGCACACUGAGAAGAGCCUUUAUUGGAUGUGCACAGAAAUCAUAGCAGCAAGCUGGUAUCAGGAGAACGAUCUGAAGGUUGUUGAGUGUACAUAUGGGCCAUUUAAAGCUCUCUUGGAAUAAACAUUUUCCAGGAAGUGAUAAAAUGAUGCUCUGCGGCCAAAAGCAUCAGAACUAUGAAUUUCAUAGAUUUAAAAUAUACUGUACAAUAUCUUCUCACAUUUCCAUAGGUCGGGUCCAUACAUCUCAGGCAUGAAUUGUUUCAACAGAAGUCAUUAGAGCUGGAAGACAGACACAGGUUAGGUUACCGCAUUUUAGCAACAACAGAAUAUUGUAUAACACAACUCCUGGGAUUCAACGCAGCACGGAAUGUCUGACCUCAUCCUAGCAGCAGUUAUCACUGAUGUAGAACACAAUAAACUAUCUCAGAAAUAAGCUGUUCCCAAAAUUAGCUGUCCAGAAAAUUCUUUGUCAGCAAGAAGCAUAAGUAAAGCUUUUUCAACUUUACGCAGCUAGGAAAAUGUCUUUGUUCUCAGAGUUUUAUCUUGUUGAACACAGUCAGCUCCAAACACCUUCCAUAUAGAACCAGGGACAGUGGCAAAGGCCCUCACUGCUUUGACAAACGCCAGGUGCUGUUUGCAGCAGACACAGCGCUAUCCCUGCAUGAGGCUGUGCUGGCAGCAUCACUACCCGCGUGCUGAAGUUCCUGUGCUCAGUCCCAGGCUUGCUGCCUUUUGGUUACUACUGAAGGGACUUCUAUAAAUAGCUGUUAGCAAUUUGUUGGUAAAAGUUAUUUCUGAGCUGCAAAAAUUUCAUUAUCCCUAUCCUUUUCAUUAUCCCUCCACUACUCAGCUUGAAUGCAAUGCUUAAAAUGUAACAAUGUCAGAGGUACGCAUCCAGAAUGUGCCUCUGCAACGCAAGGUCCGUAGCAAAGAAAGCAGCUUUGUAUUAAUGGGUUUUCCCU
Molecule: non-coding RNA, 11219 nt
Organism: Coturnix japonica (Japanese quail)
Lineage: Eukaryota; Metazoa; Chordata; Aves; Galliformes; Phasianidae
Source: RefSeq, a predicted model, not a curated record